Cryphonectria parasitica EP155 is the source of this 81-nucleotide non-coding RNA. The record is from the annotation of a RefSeq genome assembly. Lineage: Eukaryota; Fungi; Ascomycota; Sordariomycetes; Diaporthales; Cryphonectriaceae.
GGUCCUGUGGCGCAGUGGUUAGCGCAACAGCUUUACAUUGAGUCUCGCUGGAGGUCGUCGGAUCGUACCCGACCAGGAUCA